UAUUUUACUGCGGAAAAAUCGCAGCGCUUUCUCGUGCUCCAUUCGCUGGAAAUCUGACAUCUCAUUGGUGUUGGCCAUUACAAGAUCCAUGUAUUUUUCCAUAAUUGCGUUCUCACCGGUGACAAGUGUUGUUCUCUCUCGUGCUUGGGCUGUCGCCAGCUUUUCACUUGAUAGUUGAAGCUGUACCUCAGACGUUCUUUCUGAUGUGG
RNAcentral lists this long non-coding RNA (209 nucleotides) under Brachypodium distachyon (stiff brome). Its description in RNAcentral is "long non-coding RNA (BDIS_LNC001654)". The record is from RNAcentral. Lineage: Eukaryota; Viridiplantae; Streptophyta; Magnoliopsida; Poales; Poaceae.